UAGAGAUGACAAUUUUGCCUUGUAAUAUAAUACGACCCGAUUUCUAAACCAACGGGUAAACAAGUUGGACUUAAGUCUAAAAAAAGGUAAAAGGCCUUGAAGAGAAGGUGUUCGAAUAUGACUUUAGGUGCUCGAACAGUUCACAAGAUGUUCGGAUAUGGUAUUAGAUGUUAGGAUAGUACCCAAAGUGUUUGGUAAUGAUUGUUCGGACAAAUUACUUCAACUAGGAAAAAGAGUGAUCAGAUAUGAAUUAGGUACAUGUGAAAAGUAGGUCCUAAAUUAUCGUCGGGAAUAUAGGACAUAUUAUGUGACAUCUCCGCAAAGAAUAGAAGUAAAUGAGUUAGUAUGAGCUAGUAAAAUCUCAAUUAAAUCGGAAAAAGAUUUGUUCUCUUCUUUAUAAAUUAGGUCUAUGUCAAUGUUCAAGGUAUGCAAUUUCUACUCUUUUCUAAUUGGCGUUUGCUCUUUGGGCAUUUACUGACUUGAGCGUCGGAGUGGCCUAGUUCAAGCCACCAUUCUCUUAUUUUUUCUUGAUUACAGGCAGCAUUCCGAUCAACCAUCAAUCUGAGAAUUCCAAGCAACAUCACCUUGCCCCAACAGAAAAUUUAUUUUUUUACCCCAAUUAAGUUGUUUCAACUCAGUUUUGUCCAACUUUAAAAAAUAUAUUUUAUAUUACAAUUUUGAAUGAUAAAAAUGUUAAAAAAAUUGUUUAUCCUCAAGGUACACCACUUAUACUCUAUAUUAUUCUUUUUAUAACUAUAAUAUUUGAUUCUUUUAUAUAAUUCUAAAGUCAUAUACUUUCAUUCUUUCAUCAUUUGGGAUAAUCAAAAAUUCAUAUUAUUAUUCAAAGAAUUUUCUCCUUUUCAAUUGAAUACUUGUUGCAGUCACUGAAAAUUUGAAACCUCGAUGUUCAAGAACUUGAGUGACAAUAAAUCAAUGAGGAACCAUGGCUGAUGCUCUACAACUAUUCUAUUCAUCAAGAAUUCCCUAUAUAUGUGCUAGGGCAAUUAAUGUGCUUUGGGUGUGGUGUUUAGUGUUUUAGGGUAGCAGAUGGUUGGUACCCAAUAGUUAUUCCAUAUAUAUUUGGUAAAAUUUAUUAAUCAGCUGUUGUUAUCUUAUUCUAAUUCCACCAGCUACAUUUUCAAGCUGAUAACUGAUUUGAAUUUAUUUUUUAUUUAAAUUAUAUUAUUUUUUUAUUUAAUUUAAAAUUUAAUAUUAUUAAUAUUUUUAUUU
This 1230-nucleotide unclassified non-coding RNA is filed under the name Hevea brasiliensis (rubber tree). The record is from RNAcentral. Lineage: Eukaryota; Viridiplantae; Streptophyta; Magnoliopsida; Malpighiales; Euphorbiaceae.